UGGACGCUCUCGCUGCUUCUGGUGUGAACGUACAGUUUGGCUGCUGACCUCUUAAAGAUGGUGGAAGAACAAUUGUAUUCGGAGAGGCCUAGGGGAGUGGGUAGACUAGCAGCCGUGGAGAUCCCUGGCGAGGCCAUAGAGGGGUAUCUUAUGUAUGGGUUAAAAGUUAAAGAUAUCGCGGCCUUGUAUGGAGUUAGUCGAUGGACGGUACAUCGAUGAAUGCAGCAGUGUGGACUGAAAGUUCAGAGUUGUACUCUGGCAUUGAAAAUACAGAACUGGACCGUUUGGUGAUGGACAUUCAAAGGGAGUAUCGUAUGAUGAGAGCUUUUCUCCAAGCAAGUUGACAUUUGAUUCAGUUUUUUAGGGUACGUGAAUCACUACACAGAGAGGACCCAGAGGGAACACAACUUCGAGCCCUGGCUAACCUGACUCUUCAUUGCAGACAGUACUCCGUUCCUGCUCCGAAUUGCAUGUGGCAUAUAGAUGGAAAUCAUAAAUUAAUACGCUGGCGAUUCGUGAUCCAUGGAGGUAUUGAUGGGUUUAGCCGUCUUGUAGUAUAUCUGAAUGCUGCUACUAACAAUAAUGCCACCACUGUGCUGGAUGCUUUCCUUGGUUCUGUUAGCCAGUAUGGGUUGCCAUCUCGUGUUCGUUCAGAUAAAGGAGGAGAAAACAUUGAGGUGGCUCAAUUUAUGGUACAGAACCGUGGAGAAAACCGCAAUUCUCACAUUACGGGAAGGAGUGUUCACAAUCAGAGGUUGAUGAGGACUAUGUUGUUGACUGGGAUGGACCACAUGCCAUGGAAGAUGCAAACAGCAUUUCAAUCCCAGAUGUGCAGUUGCCACGCAGCCUCACUGCAGAGGAGAUUGCAGGUCUUCCCAACCGGGAUGUUCCACUAAAUGACAUAGUGAAUGUUUAUAAUUCCACAGUGGCACAACUGACAGAGAUGUUGAGAUAUUAGAUGUUCUUGUUUUGAGCAUUGAGGACUGACACCAUGAACUGACUUUCUUUUGAGACAAAAGAUAGAGUAUACAUACAAGGGACACAACUUCAAUCACAUCUGUAUCAGGACAGUCCUUCAAUUCCAGAAUUGGAGUAUCAUCCUUACUACCACUUAAAAGGGGAAGAAAGCUGCACUAAGUCCUGAGUAGAGUGGACCUCCAUUAAUAAAUGAAUGCCCAAUCAUUCUUCCAACAACUCUGAACAGGUCACCAUCCAAAAGUGCUCUAGAUGUCGAAGGAACCUUGUGAUCAUCUUCUCCGUUGAAUAAAAGUGUUUUGCCACAGUUAUCUCGUAAAUUUAUAACAAGAAAAAUGCACUCAGAUGACCAUUCCUAAUAAACCCUUCUAUUAACUAUGCUCAUACUUAUUAAAUUGAGUAAAAAAAAUUAAAAAAAAACUUUUCUUAAAAUGUUUUACAUCCUGUAUUUGCAUACCCUUUACCAUAAUCAUUGUAAUACUUAUUAGUAUCUCCUCACACAUACUAAUAAGGACUUUUCAAACUCUGCUGCACUGUGCUUCACUGAAACCUGGCUGAGUGAAGCCAUUCCGGACAGCGCAUUACAUCUGCCGGGCUUCCAGCUGUUCAGAGCGGAUCGCAUCGCGGAGUUAACGGGGAAAACGAGAGGCGGUGGAACAUGCUUUUACAUCAACGAAAGUUGGUGUACAGAUGUAACAACACUAAAGAGGAUGUGCUGUCCUAAUCUGGAAGCGCUCUUUAUUAACUGUAAGCCGUUCU
Molecule: long non-coding RNA, 1734 nt
Organism: Xyrauchen texanus (razorback sucker)
Lineage: Eukaryota; Metazoa; Chordata; Actinopteri; Cypriniformes; Catostomidae
Exons: 6
Source: RefSeq, a predicted model, not a curated record